UGGCUCAGAUUGAACGCUGGCGGCAGGCCUAACACAUGCAAGUCGAGCGGUAGAGAGAAGCUUGCUUCUCUUGAGAGCGGCGGACGGGUGAGUAAUGCCUAGGAAUCUGCCUGGUAGUGGGGGAUAACGUUCGGAAACGGACGCUAAUACCGCAUACGUCCUACGGGAGAAAGCAGGGGACCUUCGGGCCUUGCGCUAUCAGAUGAGCCUAGGUCGGAUUAGCUAGUUGGUGAGGUAAUGGCUCACCAAGGCGACGAUCCGUAACUGGUCUGAGAGGAUGAUCAGUCACACUGGAACUGAGACACGGUCCAGACUCCUACGGGAGGCAGCAGUGGGGAAUAUUGGACAAUGGGCGAAAGCCUGAUCCAGCCAUGCCGCGUGUGUGAAGAAGGUCUUCGGAUUGUAAAGCACUUUAAGUUGGGAGGAAAGGCAGUUACCUAAUACGUGAUUGUUUUGACGUUACCGACAGAAUAAGCACCGGCUAACUCUGUGCCAGCAGCCGCGGUAAUACAGAGGGUGCAAGCGUUAAUCGGAAUUACUGGGCGUAAAGCGCGCGUAGGUGGUUUGUUAAGUUGGAUGUGAAAUCCCCGGGCUCAACCUGGGAACUGCAUUCAAAACUGACUGACUAGAGUAUGGUAGAGGGUGGUGGAAUUUCCUGUGUAGCGGUGAAAUGCGUAGAUAUAGGAAGGAACACCAGUGGCGAAGGCGACCACCUGGACUAAUACUGACACUGAGGUGCGAAAGCGUGGGGGAGCAAACAGGAUUAGAUACCCUG
This 775-nucleotide ribosomal RNA is filed under the name Pseudomonas sp. CZ5. Its description in RNAcentral is "bacterial SSU rRNA". It matches the Rfam family "Bacterial small subunit ribosomal RNA", at positions 20 to 789 of the family's 1533-position model. The record is from RNAcentral. Lineage: Bacteria; Pseudomonadati; Pseudomonadota; Gammaproteobacteria; Pseudomonadales; Pseudomonadaceae.